This 253-nucleotide ribosomal RNA is filed under the name uncultured bacterium. RNAcentral describes it as "partial 16S ribosomal RNA". It matches the Rfam family "Bacterial small subunit ribosomal RNA", at positions 524 to 776 of the family's 1533-position model. The record is from RNAcentral.
UACGUAGGGGGCGAGCGUUAUCCGGAAUUACUGGGUGUAAGGGGAGCGUAGACGGCGAAGUAAGCCUGAAGUGGAAGCCCGCGGCCCAACCGCGGAACUGCUUUGGGAACUGCUUAGCUGGAGUAUGGGAGGGGUAAGCGGAAUUCCUGGUGUAGCGGUGAAAUGCGUAGAUAUCAGGAGGAACACCGGUGGCGAAAGCGGCUCUCUGGCCUGUAACUGACACUGAGGCUCGAAAGCGUGGGGAGCAAACAGG